AACGCACAUUGCGCCCAUUGGUAUUCCGAUGGGCAUGCCUGUUCGAGCGUCAUUAUCCUCCCUCAGACCGGUUUUCUGGUCUGGUGUUGGGCCGCGUCCGUCGCCCCCGUGGCGGCCGACUGGCCUCAAAGACAAUGACGGCGUCCGCGGGACCCUCGGUGCAACGAGCUUCUAGGAGCACGCGUCGAGUUUCAAGGUCCCACCGGGCCGGUCGACCCCCAAUUUUUCACAAAGGUUGACCUCGGAUCAGGUAGGAAUACCCGCUGAACUUAA
This 273-nucleotide unclassified non-coding RNA is filed under the name uncultured fungus. Its description in RNAcentral is "partial contains 5.8S ribosomal RNA, internal transcribed spacer 2, and large subunit ribosomal RNA". The stretch from base 1 to 52 matches the Rfam family "5.8S ribosomal RNA", at positions 103 to 154 of the family's 154-position model. Lineage: Eukaryota; Fungi. The record is from RNAcentral.